Long non-coding RNA from Felis catus (domestic cat), 3399 nucleotides. RefSeq lists it as uncharacterized. The transcript is spliced from 2 exons. The record is from RefSeq and is a predicted model, not a curated record. NCBI's taxonomy places the organism in Eukaryota, Metazoa, Chordata, Mammalia, Carnivora, Felidae.
CACGGGCCCCCAGGCGUCCUGCCAUUGGCCGAGGCGCCCUCACGUGCCCUCUAACGCUCUUCCCCGCCGCCCCGCCCCUGCACGCGGCACCGGUCCCACCCCCUCUUCCCCUGAAGCGCUCCGGCUCCCGGGGAUCUCCUCGGCGGCAGCGGCGGCGGCGAAGGGCCGGUCGGGUGAGCCGAGCCCAGUCUGGGAGGGGGCGUGGGGCUGCAUCGGCGGCGACUGGCCGGCACACGCGGCGCAGGUGCAGGACGGAGCGAGCAGGGGACAAGUCCGGCGUGGAAAAGCCACGUUUGAAACGGAUGGCAACAACUUCUGCAGCCGGCGGGACGUGGCCUGGCGUGAACGGCAACCUCUCGGCCUCGCCUCCUCGCCGCCCCCGCGGCGCUCCCCAGGCUCUAAAGCGCCAGCGCGCGGGAGCGCAGGGCCGGCCGAGGAGGCCCGGGGCCGCGCGGGCGGCAGUUUCGCUGGGCCCCACUGGGCCCCGCCCCAGGUCCCAGGCCCCGCCCCCGAGGCCCUCCCUCCUCCUCCCGUGUCGGCCCCGCCCCACUGGUCAGGCUUCAGCUGCGCCAAUGGGAUUUUAUUUUAUUCUUCAAUUUGGCCCGAUCUUAAACCACGUGAGGAAACCUCUGCAUUGUGACCAGGCGGUCACGUGAUUUGUCUCAGCUCGCUAACAGCUCUGGGGAGAUGAGUUUUGCGAAGGAAGAAGGUUAGCUUGUUAACAUACUACUUCCGCAGCCUGUCUGGUGGCAAAAACCAAUGGAGAGCACUAAUGACAGGCACGGAGCCUGCAGAAAAGCGUUAGGUAAUAAGCCUCCGGGAGUGAACGGAUCCACGCGUGAGAAGCGUUGCCUCACUCGUCAUGAUGGAGGGGCUGGAUCUUAACCCGGCGCCUAGACACAUUGCGUUUUCUUACGCCCGGGUUUUAGCUCUUGAAAGUUGCUAGGCAAAGCGUUUUCGGUUAUUCUGUUCUGCUCUGCGAUGAGAAAGCUAAAAGAAGAGGAAGAAAAAAAAAAAUCUAAAGUGAGGAGUGUCGUGGGAGGUCCUGAAAGUUAAGUUCUGCCUGCAGGUGUCUGAAUGUACGCCUUCGCCUUCAGACGAAUAUAGCUGCAGGUAAACGGCACAGCCUCCAACGGCUGGUGGUGCAGAAGAAACGGUUCUGAGUGGGUCAGUAGUUUUUCCAAACAAAUAGCUAAAGAACAUGGGGGAGGGGGUAGAACAAUGCCCCUCGUUAAUUUAAUAACAUUUCAUUAAAAAAAUUUUAUGUUUAUUUUAUUUUUGAAAGAGACGGAGCAUGAGCGGGGGAAGGGCAGAGAGAGAGGGAGACACAGAAUCCGCAGCAGGCUCCAGGCUCUAAGCUGUCAGCACAGGGCCGGAUGUGGGGCUGGAACCCACAAACAAAAUGGAAGAAAGCCAGCCGUCAGAAGGAUGUGGCGCUCAGCAAGUCUACGGGGACUGGGGCGCGAGAGUCUGGCUCAGAAGCACCCAAGAGCCCUUCACCAGAGUAUUUUGUUAUGGCGAGAGAUGAGAAUGAAGGAAAGAGUCUCCCGAUUCAGACUCUGGUAAGCCUUGCCAAGGAGCUGGACUUCUCUUUGAAUGGGAUUUGGGGUCCCCGGAGGAUGUUAAACUGGGGAGUGACAGACUCAACAUGUGCACCCAGAAGACCUCUCUGGCAGGAAUGUUGGGCGUAAAGGGUAAAGGUAGGAGGUCAGAGAGCAACUGGGAUCUGGGGUCCAAGGUGUGUGCUGGUGAGGCGUCUCCAUGGCAAGAACAGGAGGAAGGAUCACAAAUACCCCGGAGGUAGACUUGCGCAGGCAGGAGAGAGCCACAGUAAGGCUCACGCCCACGUUUGUAGCUUGGACGACACGGUGGCAAGAAAGGGACACAAGCAGAGAAGCGGUUUUCCAGGGAACACGAUUGCAGUCGUGGGGCCCACUGAGUUUGAGCUGUGUCUGCAACACGCUGAUAGAGGUGUCUUCGCUGGCAUGGAAAUCCAGACCUGACAUUCAGGAUAGAGUGUCAACGUAUUUCAGGUUAGGUAUUCAUCAGGUCAAUUUGAGUUUGAGGGACACCCGGGAAGCUGCCUAGUGACCUUGAAAUCACAGUCACCAGAGGCACUGGGAUCAGCACCGUUGCCUGACCCACGUGUUCCUCCCUGGCCAUUGAACUGGGUUUCCUUUGCCCCCACUAGGGGGCCAUCCCCCAACCAAUGUCAGCCAGCAGUUAGUUUAUGGGACAGUCACAGGGGACGCUAGGUAUGGCACAGUGUCCUGGCUGCUGUGGCAUUUACAGAAACACUAGAGAUAGAUGUAGCCCCUCUCAAAAAAAAAAAAAAAAAAAAGGGAUUCAAAAGCCGCUAUCAAUGAGAUACAGAGAUUGUGUACACCUUCAUCCUCGUGUGUGUGUGCGCGUGUGUGCCUGGGGUUACCUCUUCUGAGUGCCCCCAUCUUCUAUGUUCAUCAGGGCGCUGCCCAUAUCACAGAAAACCCUCUCUUCUUCAGACCCUGACCCUUCUGGGACACGUUUCUGCGAUGGCCUUUAGUAACCUAGAAAUGCUUUUCCCACGUCUGCCUUCCCCGGAGGAUGGAUUGCUUCAGUUAGGCCCUUGAGGUCUCUCUGGAGUUGCAGAGAGGGCCCCAGAGGAUCUAGUUUUCCGGCUGCCCUGCCGCCACCAGCCAUCGACCCGCAGAGAGGCCUGCUGCUUCACUCUGGAGAGCAGAAGGGGUGCGUAAAAGCAGGGCAGAGAGAAGGCCCUUGGUUCAGAAUCAGAGCUGCCCCUUCAUACCUUUCAGAAGCUCUUAUCUUCAAGGAUGCCUACGACACAGUGGCCCUGCCCUCACGUCCUCCUCUGACGCCGGUCCCAACCCGGCCGUGUGUGCCACGCUGCGGUUUUGAUCUCCUCGACCCAGAAAGCCCCUUCUCUUGGCUCGCUGGACACCAGCCCCGGCGGCUUCGGUCCUGCCCCGCUGGGCUGUCUGAGCAGCGAGGUGGUCUCGUACGUUUGAAUUUUCGGCGGAGCCUCCCGAGGCAGCAAUCACAUCCUAGGCACCCUGUGUUUCCCAGGGCCUACCGUUUGUUCACAGAUCCCACUGCUGCUGUGGUCUAGCCCCGCCUCUCAGACUGUUCUCUUUCCUCCUGCUGCUCUCAUUGGCCGUCCUCCCCCAGAGCUUGGGACGUGCUGGCAACCCCCUCCAAUGUGUCCAUGUCACCAGCCCUCCCCCCCUUCUGCUGGCGGGGUAGUAGGGGGAGGUGCCUAGGGCCUGGGCUGGAUAGUAACUUCUUCAGGGCCACCCCUGACACUUCCCCAGUGUAGAAGUUCAACUCAUUUACUCACCCCCCACCCCUUUUCCUGACUUGAUUUCCACUGACCCGUCAUUAAAGAACUCAUUUCUUAUUGAA